Molecule: ribosomal RNA, 465 nt
Filed under: Vreelandella stevensii
Lineage: Bacteria; Pseudomonadati; Pseudomonadota; Gammaproteobacteria; Oceanospirillales; Halomonadaceae
Description: partial 16S ribosomal RNA
Rfam family: Bacterial small subunit ribosomal RNA
Source: RNAcentral
CCUACGGGCGGCAGCAGUGGGGAAUAUUGGACAAUAGGCGAAAGCCUGAUCCAGCCAUGCCGCGUGUGUGAAGAAGGCCUUCGGGUUGUAAAGCACUUUCAGUGGGGAAGAAAGCCUUGGGGCUAAUACCCUCGAGGAAGGACAUCACCCACAGAAGAAGCACCGGCUAACUCCGUGCCAGCAGCCGCGGUAAUACGGAGGGUGCGAGCGUUAAUCGGAAUUACUGGGCGUAAAGCGCGCGUAGGCGGUCUGAUAAGCCGGUUGUGAAAGCCCCGGGCUCAACCUGGGAACGGCAUCCGGAACUGUCAGGCUAGAGUGCAGGAGAGGAAGGUAGAAUUCCCGGUGUAGCGGUGAAAUGCGUAGAGAUCGGGAGGAAUACCAGUGGCGAAGGCGGCCUUCUGGACUGACACUGACGCUGAGGUGCGAAAGCGUGGGUAGCAAACAGGAUUAGAUACCCUUGUAGUC